RNAcentral lists this ribosomal RNA (440 nucleotides) under uncultured bacterium. RNAcentral's name for it is "partial 16S ribosomal RNA". It matches the Rfam family "Bacterial small subunit ribosomal RNA", at positions 338 to 795 of the family's 1533-position model. The record is from RNAcentral.
CCUACGGGGGGCUGCAGUGGGGGAUAUUGCACAAUGGGGGGAACCCUGAUGCAGCGACGCCGCGUGGGUGAAGAAGCGCCUCGGCGCGUAAAGCCCUGUCAGCAGGGAAGAAAAUGACGGUACCUGAAGAAGAAGCCCCGGCUAACUACGUGCCAGCAGCCGCGGUAAUACGUAGGGGGCAAGCGUUAUCCGGAUUUACUGGGUGGAAAGGGGGCGCAGACGGCGAUGCAAGCCAGGAGUGAAAGCCCGGGGCCCAACCCCGGGACUGCUCUUGGAACUGCGUGGCUGGAGUGCAGGAGGGGCAGGCGGAAUUCCUGGUGUAGCGGUGAAAUGCGUAGAUAUCAGGAGGAACACCAGUGGCGAAGGCGGCCUGCUGGGCUUUUACUGACGCUGAGGCUCGAAAGUGUGGGGAGCAAACAGGAUUAGAUACCCCGGUAGUC